CUCCCCACUUACAUUUCCAACGACGAGCUGCUUCGUCUUCCCCCAAUUCUUCCAUUUCAACGUUCCUCUCUUCUACCUCCUUAUACAGAAGAAAAGUGUUCUGUCUCGAGAACCCAAAUUUCACCGUUCCCCCAAUUCUUCCGUUCUUCGUUACCCGCGAUCGACACUUCGUUACCCGCGAUCGACGCCUCGAGAACCCAAAUUUCCAACGACGAGCUUCCUCGAGAACCCAAGUAUUCUACAAACAUGUCUUCCGCUUCGUUACGAAUAUAUAUCAUGGCUCAGAUCCUCAUUCCCACAUCCCUAAUUUCCAAAUCAACCCAUCGUCUAAUCCCCCGGCGACGACUGAUCCCUACGCUGCGAAAAGUGUUCGGCGUCACUGAGAGGCGAAGGUCGUCGGUCGUCGGCGUCCCUGCUAAUUCCCACUAUUUUGUUAUCAUCGAGCAGAAUAUGUUUGAUUACAUAGAUGUUCCUCCAGUGGGAAGUAUAAACUCCAUGAGAAUCUGUGGAUAAUUCAAAUAUUGAGACAGAAGGUCCUUUUUUUACAGGAAGAAGUUAGACUAUGUCCAUCUUGACAAAUUUUGAAUGUCACGAUGAGGUGUAAGGCGGUAACAUUUGUUUCAAGCGAGCCUCUGCCUCCUGAGUUCUCACAUGUUCUUGAAUUUAGGGAAGUAAAGUAUAAUCUAUAUAGCCACAGUUUUCUUCAUCUUGGACAGGUGAGUUUCAACCUGUAUUAUUAUUCAAAAUUUAUAAUUGCACUAUUUACUUCCAUUACACCCUUUGCAUCUUGAAGCUGUAAACAUUCCUUCUUCUGCAAGGAGCGGGAGGGGGCUGACCCAAACUUUUAGCUUGGCAUCUGAUUAGACCCAUCCAAGUGGCUGACUUUAGGUCAUCUUACACCUAGAUUUAUGUUAAACUAGACUGACCAUCCAGGCCACACCUUUAUUGAUGGGAGGCUGGUGGCAGAUGAGAAAAAAUUAGAUGGAAGGUAAUGGAAAGAUUGACUAAUUACCACGAUGAAAGCUGUUGCCUUUAGAGGGAUACUUGGUGAUUAAUUAUUAAUAGAACAAUCCAAAGCAGCUGGCAAUGCAUUGCUUAUAUAAAAGAAACUUCGCAUGUGUAGCGGUUUGUCUUU
RNA transcript from Asparagus officinalis (garden asparagus), 1135 nucleotides. RefSeq lists it as uncharacterized. The record is from RefSeq and is a predicted model, not a curated record. NCBI's taxonomy places the organism in Eukaryota, Viridiplantae, Streptophyta, Magnoliopsida, Asparagales, Asparagaceae. The transcript has 4 exons.